This 494-nucleotide ribosomal RNA is filed under the name uncultured bacterium. RNAcentral's name for it is "bacterial SSU rRNA". It matches the Rfam family "Bacterial small subunit ribosomal RNA", at positions 28 to 507 of the family's 1533-position model. The record is from RNAcentral.
GAUGAACGCUAGCUACAGGCUUAACACAUGCAAGUCGAGGGGAAACGAUAUUGGAAGCUUGCUUCCGAUAGGCGUCGACCGGCGCACGGGUGAGUAACGCGUAUCCAACCUGCCCAUCACUUGGGAAUAACCUUGCGAAAGUAAGACUAAUGCCCAAUGACAUUUAUAGAAGGCAUCUGAAAUGAAUUAAAGAUUUAUCGGUGAUGGAUGGGGAUGCGUCUGAUUAGCUUGUUGGCGGGGUAACGGCCCACCAAGGCAACGAUCAGUAGGGGUUCUGAGAGGAAGGUCCCCCACAUUGGAACUGAGACACGGUCCAAACUCCUACGGGAGGCAGCAGUGAGGAAUAUUGGUCAAUGGGCGAGAGCCUGAACCAGCCAAGUAGCGUGUGGGACGAAUGCCCUAUGGGGUUGUAAACCACUUUUUAUAAGGGAAUAAAGUGAGAGUCGUGACUCUUUUUGCAUGUACCUUAUGAAUAAGGACCGGCUAAUUCCGUG